GCAAGUCGAACGGCAGCACGGGAGCAAUCCUGGUGGCGAGUGGCGAACGGGUGAGUAAUACAUCGGAACGUGCCCAAUCGUGGGGGAUAACGCAGCGAAAGCUGUGCUAAUACCGCAUACGAUCUACGGAUGAAAGCAGGGGAUCGCAAGACCUUGCGCGAAUGGAGCGGCCGAUGGCAGAUUAGGUAGUUGGUGAGGUAAAGGCUCACCAAGCCUUCGAUCUGUAGCUGGUCUGAGAGGACGACCAGCCACACUGGGACUGAGACACGGCCCAGACUCCUACGGGAGGCAGCAGUGGGGAAUUUUGGACAAUGGGCGAAAGCCUGAUCCAGCCAUGCCGCGUGCAGGAUGAAGGCCUUCGGGUUGUAAACUGCUUUUGUACGGAACGAAAAGGUUCUUUCUAAUAAAGAGAGCUCAUGACGGUACCGUAAGAAUAAGCACCGGCUAACUACGUGCCAGCAGCCGCGGUAAUACGUAGGGUGCAAGCGUUAAUCGGAAUUACUGGGCGUAAAGCGUGCGCAGGCGGUUAUAUAAGACAGUUGUGAAAUCCCCGGGCUCAACCUGGGAACUGCAUCUGUGACUGUAUAGCUAGAGUACGGUAGAGGGGGAUGGAAUUCCGCGU
Molecule: ribosomal RNA, 622 nt
Filed under: uncultured soil bacterium
Lineage: Bacteria
Description: bacterial SSU rRNA
Rfam family: Bacterial small subunit ribosomal RNA
Source: RNAcentral